GGCGAUAUGGCCAAGUGGUAAGGCAAGAGAUUGCAAAUCUUUUAUCCCCAGUUCAAAUCUGGGUAUCGCCUAGU
RNAcentral lists this transfer RNA (74 nucleotides) under Gracilaria tenuistipitata var. liui. RNAcentral's name for it is "tRNA-Cys". It matches the Rfam family "tRNA". Rfam says of the family: Transfer RNA (tRNA) molecules are approximately 80 nucleotides in length. Their secondary structure includes four short double-helical elements and three loops (D, anti-codon, and T loops). The record is from RNAcentral. Lineage: Eukaryota; Rhodophyta; Florideophyceae; Gracilariales; Gracilariaceae.